UUAAAAGCUCGUAGUUGGAUCAGAGUUGGACGUGCACGUGGCCCCAUUUGUGUGGCUGGCUCCGGUCAGUUACACGGUGGCGGAACAACCCCGUGCGCCAAACUGUCCACUCUAACAGACCGAAGCGGUUCCCUGUGAGUAACUUAGGCUCCUUAAUUGGGGCUGAAAGCGCCUACGCAUCAACCAUAUGCAUACGGGACGUCGGUCAAAGUUACUGUGAACAAACCAGCGUGUCCAAGGCAGGCUUUCGCCUGAAUGUUCGAGCAUGGAAUAACAAGGGAUCGAUUCUCUCGGUUCUUUUUGUUGGUUUUUAACCCGAGAAGGAGAAAUUCAGGCCACGGUGUCUGAGUUGGGUUUCCCAGGGCUUCGGCUCUGGCCCCAAUUAGGCCGUGUCCUUACGGGAUCAAUAGGGACUGACGGGGUCGUACCUACUUCCGCGUCAGAGGUGAAAUUCUUAGGUCGCGGGAAGAGGAACUUCAGC
This 481-nucleotide ribosomal RNA is filed under the name uncultured marine eukaryote. RNAcentral describes it as "bacterial SSU rRNA". It matches the Rfam family "Eukaryotic small subunit ribosomal RNA", at positions 622 to 946 of the family's 1831-position model. The record is from RNAcentral.